GAAGCUGAGAGGCUUGCUACAUGAGAUGCCUUGGGGAAAUAGGUUACAGUAUAGUCAAAUCACAAGUUGCCUUUUAGAGGGUAUAAGAUUUCUCCGGAGCCCCUUUUGGCCAAAACAGUUCCUUCUUCUGUGUCGAAUGAUGCUGGUGGGAUCCAUGGAAAGUGGUUUGGGGGACUCUUGUGAUGAGGAGCCAAAUCGUUGACAUGAUGAGUGGGGUUGUAGGUCCCCCCCCCCCCAACAGAAAGAAAGAAAAAAAAGGUAGAAAAAACGGUGCUUCCCACCCUCCCUUCAAGACGUUUUUCUACAAAUAAUUUUUUUUUUGAACAGUGUUUUCGUC
This 337-nucleotide unclassified non-coding RNA is filed under the name Hevea brasiliensis (rubber tree). The record is from RNAcentral. Lineage: Eukaryota; Viridiplantae; Streptophyta; Magnoliopsida; Malpighiales; Euphorbiaceae.